AUUGAACGCUGGCGGCAGGCCUAACACAUGCAAGUCAAACGGUAACAGGAAGAAGCUUGCUUCUUUGCUGACGAGUGGCGGACGGGUGAGUAAUGUCUGGGAAACUGCCUGAUGGAGGGGGAUAACUACUGGAAACGGUAGCUAAUACCGCAUAACGUCGCAAGACCAAAGAGGGGGACCUUCGGGCCUCUUGCCAUCGGAUGUGCCCAGAUGGGAUUAGCUAGUAGGUGGGGUAACGGCUCACCUAGGCGACGAUCCCUAGCUGGUCUGAGAGGAUGACCAGCCACACUGGAACUGAGACACGGUCCAGACUCCUACGGGAGGCAGCAGUGGGGAAUAUUGCACAAUGGGCGCAAGCCUGAUGCAGCCAUGCCGCGUGUAUGAAGGAGGCCUUCGGGUUGUAAAGUACUUUCAGCGGGGAGGAAGGGAGUAAAGUUAAUACCUUUGCUCAUUGACGUUACCCGCAGAAGAAGCACCGGCUAACUCCGUG
This 490-nucleotide ribosomal RNA is filed under the name uncultured bacterium. Its description in RNAcentral is "partial 16S ribosomal RNA". It matches the Rfam family "Bacterial small subunit ribosomal RNA", at positions 30 to 507 of the family's 1533-position model. The record is from RNAcentral.